This 540-nucleotide ribosomal RNA is filed under the name Methylobacterium sp. RNAcentral's name for it is "bacterial SSU rRNA". It matches the Rfam family "Bacterial small subunit ribosomal RNA", at positions 126 to 702 of the family's 1533-position model. Lineage: Bacteria; Pseudomonadati; Pseudomonadota; Alphaproteobacteria; Hyphomicrobiales; Methylobacteriaceae. The record is from RNAcentral.
GUGCCCUCCGGUCUGGGAUAACCCUGGGAAACUAGGGCUAAUACCGGAUACGUGCUUUGGCAGAAAGGUUUACUGCCGGAGGAUCGGCCCGCGUCUGAUUAGCUUGUUGGUGGGGUAACGGCCUACCAAGGCGACGAUCAGUAGCUGGUCUGAGAGGAUGAUCAGCCACACUGGGACUGAGACACGGCCCAGACUCCUACGGGAGGCAGCAGUGGGGAAUAUUGGACAAUGGGCGCAAGCCUGAUCCAGCCAUGCCGCGUGAGUGAUGACGGCCUUAGGGUUGUAAAGCUCUUUUCUCCGGGACGAUAAUGACGGUACCGGAGGAAUAAGCCCCGGCUAACUUCGUGCCAGCAGCCGCGGUAAUACGAAGGGGGCUAGCGUUGCUCGGAAUCACUGGGCGUAAAGGGCGCGUAGGCGGCGUUUUAAGUCGGGGGUGAAAGCCUGUGGCUCAACCACAGAAUGGCCUUCGAUACUGGGACGCUUGAGUAUGGUAGAGGUUGGUGGAACUGCCAGUGCACACGUGAAAUUCUGAUAUAUGCG